RNAcentral lists this ribosomal RNA (472 nucleotides) under uncultured organism. RNAcentral describes it as "partial 16S ribosomal RNA". It matches the Rfam family "Bacterial small subunit ribosomal RNA", at positions 335 to 798 of the family's 1533-position model. The record is from RNAcentral.
ACUCCUACGGGAGGCAGCAGUGGGGAAUUUUGGACAAUGGGCGAAAGCCUGAUCCAGCAAUGCCGCGUGAGUGAAGAAGGCCUUCGGGUUGUAAAGCUCUUUUGUCAGGGAAGAAACGGUGAAAGCUAAUAUCUUUUGCUAAUGACGGUACCUGAAGAAUAAGCACCGGCUAACUACGUGCCAGCAGCCGCGGUAAUACGUAGGGUGCAAGCGUUAAUCGGAAUUACUGGGCGUAAAGCGUGCGCAGGCGGUUUUGUAAGUCUGAUGUGAAAUCCCCGGGCUCAACCUGGGAAUUGCAUUGGAGACUGCAAGGCUAGAAUCUGGCAGAGGGGGGUAGAAUUCCACGUGUAGCAGUGAAAUGCGUAGAUAUGUGGAGGAACACCGAUGGCGAAGGCAGCCCCCUGGGUCAAGAUUGACGCUCAUGCACGAAAGCGUGGGGAGCAAACAGGAUUAGAUACCCCUGUAGUCCCAU